GGCAUAGCGCAGUCUGGUAGCGCAUCUGGUUUGGGACCAGAGGGUCGGGGGUUCGAAUCCCUCUGCC
Molecule: transfer RNA, 67 nt
Filed under: uncultured Ignatzschineria sp.
Lineage: Bacteria; Pseudomonadati; Pseudomonadota; Gammaproteobacteria; Cardiobacteriales; Ignatzschineriaceae
Also listed under: 1 other name
Rfam family: tRNA
About the family: Transfer RNA (tRNA) molecules are approximately 80 nucleotides in length. Their secondary structure includes four short double-helical elements and three loops (D, anti-codon, and T loops).
Source: RNAcentral